Piliocolobus tephrosceles (Ugandan red Colobus) is the source of this 2185-nucleotide long non-coding RNA. RefSeq lists it as uncharacterized. NCBI's taxonomy places the organism in Eukaryota, Metazoa, Chordata, Mammalia, Primates, Cercopithecidae. The record is from RefSeq and is a predicted model, not a curated record. The transcript has 2 exons.
CCGAUGGUCUCUAUCACCUGACCUCGUGAUCCGCCCGCCUCGGCCUCCCAAAGUGCUGGGAUUACAGGCAUGAGCCACCACGCCCGGCUAUCAUUCCACCAUUCAUUCUAACAAUUGAGUCUCAACUACAUGCUAGGCACUCUUUAGGAUUCAAUAAGGAUUAGGUGGUGAACAACACAGAGCCCUCAUGAAUCUUACCUCCUGGUAUCCAGGUUAAAAUACUUUCUGUUCUUGGGCAAAGAGAAUUAGAAACAAAUACCCUUAACCUGACUCCCUUGUUCUUGAGCCCAGGACCAAGAAAGAAGAAGCUGUACAAUCCAGAAGCAGGGCUUGAGAUCACCUCCAACCUGCCAAGCAGAUAAGUUCUGGGUAUGCCAACUUGGGAGGCAGAGGUUGAAACCUCAUAGGAGAAACUUCGGAGCUCAUAGAAGGCCCAGGCAUUGUCAGAGGCCUUGAGUUCCAAAACCAUGCCAGUAUUUCUCCCUUCUGACAGGCUGGUUAGAAAGAAACUAAAUGGGAGCAUUUUUCUCUGACAGUGGGGCAGAGGGACGAGAGAUGACAGCCCAGGCAGAAGCAGAGACAUUGCCGCUGGAGUCAAGAGAGGGCAAACCAGAAGGCCCAGCUUUGGGUCUGACUCCAAGACGACUGGCUGGGAGGAAAACUUAACAGGCAAAACAGGCUUCUGAGGCACAGUGGAAUAGUGAGACUUCGGCAUUGCUGCACUGGUGACAUCCCCUACAGAAGAGGCUCCUCAGCUGUAUAUAUGGCCAAAAUAAAGAUCACACCACCUAAAGGGAAAGUGCUGGGCAAACCAGAGAUGGAGAUGGCAAAGCAGGAACAGAAAUGCUGCCACAUUGAACAGGAAGCAGGACAGCUUGACUAGGCCAGAGUUCUCUUGCUUCAGGGAACCUGCUCAAGUUUCAGGAAUUCAUACCCACCCCCUUCACCUAGGAUCCCUGCUACAGUGAGUGAGUAUUCUGUGCAAAGUGCUGAAGACGGCCAGCACUACUCUCAGCCACUUUCUUACAGCAAAGUUGGGGAAAAUAGAAUAGCAAAAACAAAACUCAUACUUUUCUGUGUGUCUGAAGUUCUCCAGAAGGUUUCCAAAUGGAAUCUUCUCACAGCCACCCUGUGAAGCAGCCAGGGUAGUGACCUUAUGGAUGAGUGACAGCCUGUUCAAAGAAUGACCUGCCUGUGUCCCAGGAUGCAGAUUUAUGGCUGGGUUUGGAUUAAUUUCUUUAUUUGAUUUCCAGUUUUCUUUCCCACUGUCAGUAUUCCCCCGUUCUUAUUUUAUCAGCUGGAUUUGCAGAGAGAUCUACUAUCAAUCAAAAGGGCUGCCUAUAGACAGCUCCAUGAAUUGCCUUUACUCUGAUACUCUCAUUAGGUUUAGAGAUUUCACUGGAAGGAUAGCAGAAGGAAAUGGACUGUGGUCUGAUAUCAAAAGUACUGUCCAGUGAUAGCUGAAAUCACACACAUUUUACUCAUUUAACAAUGUCAGAGUUUGCCAUCAGCACCUCAGAGGAGCAAAGCUUGGCUCAUAAAGUUGAGUGAGUUACUGAGCCUGCCGCAUUGGCCUACUUGCCACCUCCAGAGGUAUCUGAAGUCAGCACUGCAGGUUCUGUGAACAUUUGGGAAGCUGUGCCUCUUAGCCUUCUGGGCCCCUACAGUUGAAUUGCUCUCCUAUCUGGUACUGAGGGACCAGCAGUCUUCCUACCCUGCCUCUGCCGUUACCACCAAUCCACUUUCUAAUAAGGACUGCAGAUUUAUCUUUCUUAGCCCUGCCUUAACUGGUCUUCCCAGCUCAGACUUCCUUACUCAGUCCAUCGUCUCAGGAUUUUCUUCUGUGGUCUUUUUCAAACUACUAGCUGACUUUUCCCUUUUAUUUCCCACUAGGAACCCCCCUACCCGCUGCAAUUCAUCAAAUCAAACUGACUGCCCUCUUUCAUGCCCCUUCCCUAGUGCCCCAACACAAGCCUGUGCAUAAGCUUGAACAUUUCUACCUUUGCCAAUGGUAUUUCCCCUUCAGGCUUACCCUGCUUCCUCCUUCUCAGACUUUUCCAGUCUUGAUUGUCCUCUCUGUAAACACAAGAAUGAAUUUCAAGACAAGUUACUUAAUGGCUUAGAGCCUGUUUCCCUAUCCAUAAAAUGGGGCUAUAAAUUCCUCAGGAUGGGAUGAGGGUACAAA